CCGAAGCCGUGGACCUAAGCAAUGUGGUCUGCAAACCAGAGUCUGAGAAGUGUUGUAUUUUGCCGGGUAAGGUAAAAAGAACUGUACACCGGAGGGAGCUUAUAAGACAUCAACGACGGAAUGUUCAGGCAACAAAAGAAGACAGGACAAGACAAGACAAAAUGAAUCACAGGCUCCAGGCUCAGGGAGAGACCCUUCUUCGUGGGAAGAAGACAGAGGACAGAGGGAGAUAACUGGUGACGUCCCUUAACAGAGCUGCAAAAUAUGGACUGUAGACCACAGAGGAGCUGGAAGAGUUCUGAGAGGACUUCCUGGGGUCCUCCUAUUCACCCCUCCAAAAAUUACUGUCAGCAGUGUAAGAGGAGUGCUUCAGGAAAGAACAAUCGGCCUGGAACAGGCUUGGGUGCCACAUUGCCAUCUGGGACCUGCUUCUUACAGGUGAUUGUUGAAUGUAUGGAAACUCCUUAGCCUCUUGUUUUAGUUUAAGAAUAAAAGAAAAAAAUACUUGUUCAAAUGAGAUAGAUUUGUUAGACUAUCAACUACCACUCAACUGUAAGUUUAUAAUCGCUGUCACUUUAAUAAAGGAUGG
This 589-nucleotide long non-coding RNA is filed under the name Cricetulus griseus (Chinese hamster). Its description in RNAcentral is "lncRNA (ENSCGRG00015033974.1)". The record is from RNAcentral. Lineage: Eukaryota; Metazoa; Chordata; Mammalia; Rodentia; Cricetidae.